UUUCCGUAGGUGAACCUGCGGAAGGAUCAUUACUGAGUUAGGGUGGCUCUGCCGCCCGACCUCCCAACCCUUUGUCUAAACCGACCAUCGUUGCUUCGGCGAGCCGCAUCCCCUCGGGGUCGCGCCGGGGGCCUCACCGCCCCUGGAGAGCGCUCGUCGAUAGCCAAAUUUAAAACUCUUGAUAAAAUACCCACCUAAAUCUUGUAUAUCUUAAUGAUAAAACAAAACUUUCAACAACGGAUCUCUUGGUUCUGGCAUCGAUGAAGAACGCAGC
This 274-nucleotide unclassified non-coding RNA is filed under the name uncultured fungus. Its description in RNAcentral is "sequence contains ITS1, 5.8S rRNA gene". The stretch from base 226 to 274 matches the Rfam family "5.8S ribosomal RNA", at positions 1 to 49 of the family's 154-position model. The record is from RNAcentral. Lineage: Eukaryota; Fungi.